RNAcentral lists this ribosomal RNA (488 nucleotides) under uncultured bacterium. RNAcentral describes it as "partial 16S ribosomal RNA". It matches the Rfam family "Bacterial small subunit ribosomal RNA", at positions 30 to 523 of the family's 1533-position model. The record is from RNAcentral.
AUUGAACGCUGGCGGCAGGCCUAACACAUGCAAGUCGAGCGGGGUUUUCGGACCUAGCGGCGGACGGGUGAGUAAUGCGUAGGAAGCUACCCGAUAGAGGGGGAUACCAGUUGGAAACGACUGUUAAUACCGCAUAAUGUCUACGGACCAAAGUGUGGGACCUUCGGGCCACAUGCUAUCGGAUGCGCCUACGUGGGAUUAGCUAGUUGGUGGGGUAAUGGCUCACCAAGGCGACGAUCCCUAGCUGGUUUGAGAGGAUGAUCAGCCACACUGGAACUGAGACACGGUCCAGACUCCUACGGGAGGCAGCAGUGGGGAAUAUUGGACAAUGGGCGCAAGCCUGAUCCAGCCAUGCCGCGUGUGUGAAGAAGGCCUUCGGGUUGUAAAGCACUUUCAGUGGGGAGGAAGGAUGUUGUGUUAAUAGCACAGCAUUUUGACGUUACCUACAGAAGAAGCACCGGCUAACUCUGUGCCAGCAGCCGCCGUAA